RNAcentral lists this small RNA (2509 nucleotides) under Pan troglodytes (chimpanzee). Its description in RNAcentral is "retained intron". The record is from RNAcentral. Lineage: Eukaryota; Metazoa; Chordata; Mammalia; Primates; Hominidae.
GAAAUUGCCGAACGCGAUGCCCGAGGGCGCUGUGAGCAGGGUGGCCUUAGCUCACCGAGGCUGGUCAGUGAGAGGGCAUACUGGGAAGCCCUGUGGAGUGGGAAGACAGUGCCGCUGUUGAGACAAGACCCAGGACUGGGCCGGGGACUGUCCCAAAGGGUUUCUCGUCAUAAUGGCUGUGGAAGGGUCAACCAUUACCAGCCGGAUCAAGAAUCUGUUGAGAUCUCCAUCCAUCAAACUGCGCAGGAGUAAGGCAGGAAACCGACGAGAGGACCUCAGCUCCAAGGUGACCUUGGAGAAGGUGCUGGGAAUUACAGUGUCUGGAGGCAGAGGACUUGCCUGUGACCCCCGAUCAGGUUUAGUUGCUUACCCAGCAGGGUGUGUGGUUGUGUUGUUCAAUCCCCGGAAACACAAACAGCACCACAUCCUCAACAGUUCCAGGAAAACCAUCACUGCCCUUGCCUUCUCCCCUGAUGGCAAGUACUUGGUCACUGGAGAGAGUGGGCACAUGCCUGCCGUGCGGGUUUGGGACGUGGCAGAGCACAGCCAGGUGGCCGAGCUGCAGGAGCACAAGUAUGGUGUGGCUUGUGUGGCCUUCUCUCCUAGCGCCAAGUACAUUGUCUCUGUGGGCUACCAGCAUGACAUGAUCGUCAACGUGUGGGCCUGGAAGAAAAACAUUGUGGUGGCCUCCAACAAGGUGUCCAGUCGGGUGACAGCAGUGUCCUUCUCUGAGGAUUGCAGCUACUUUGUCACUGCAGGCAACCGGCACAUCAAAUUCUGGUAUCUCGAUGACAGCAAGACCUCAAAGGUGAGGUGCUGAAGCUGGGAGUAGCCACCCAGGCCCCUGGCAGGGCCUGCCCAGCCCACCCCAGGAGACUCUGCCCCACUUGGGCCUCUCUCUGCAUUCCCAGCAGUCAUGCAGAAGUUUUGAAUGAGCCAGAUGCUGUCUGGGCUGAGGAGUAGGCCCAAAGAGCAAGGAGGUGCUGGAGGCGUCCCCUGUACUCUCCUAGGGCCUAGUUUCCAGGGGCAGGCUCUGGGGUGGAUGGGGGUGUAACAGUGGUGUGCCUCCACAGGUGAAUGCCACUGUGCCCUUGCUGGGCCGCUCAGGGCUGCUGGGAGAGCUACGGAACAACCUAUUCACUGAUGUGGCCUGUGGCAGAGGAAAGAAGGCGGACAGUACCUUCUGCAUCACGUCCUCAGGGCUGCUGUGCGAGUUCAGUGAUCGAAGGCUUUUGGACAAGUGGGUGGAGCUGAGGGUAAGUACCUCCGUCCCCAGGGGUAGGGUAUGCUCAUGUCUCAGCUCAGGGGAGAACUAGUGCCCAGGGCUUCAGACUAGGGGCUGGUCCCUUGUGCAUACGGGAGAUCCCAGGAGAACGAAGCUUGGGGGAGCUAGAGCUUGGCCCAUUUCCAGCCCUUGGUGAUCUGUAUAACUGCCUCCUCUCUGCUCUUUCUGUCUCUUUCCCCUGCUUUCCUCUUCCGCUCAGAACAUAGACAGCUUCACAGUAAGUGGUGCCUGCACCUUCCUCUCUUUCUCAUGCUAUUUCUUUCUCUUCACUGGGCUUUUCCUACUGGAUCCUCUGGUGCCUAGAAGAACCCUCGAUUCCUAAUCCCUGGCUGGACAGGGCUGAGGGGCUCAGAACAGGGCAGCUGGGCGGCUUUUCCCUUGCCCCUGCCUUGGGCGGUCCCUCCUCUUAGCAGGUGGCUGUUGAUGGGUGGGGAGGAGAGAAGACUGAGUGGGCAGGUGGCCUUGCUGAGCUGAGCCACUCUGCCCACAGACCACAGUGGCCCACUGCAUCUCUGUGAGCCAAGACUACAUCUUCUGUGGCUGUGCUGAUGGCACCGUGCGCCUUUUCAACCCCUCUAACCUGCACUUCCUUAGCACCUUGCCCCGACCCCAUGCUCUGGGGACAGACAUUGCUAGCGUCACCGAGGCCAGUCGCCUCUUCUCUGGAGUGGCGAAUGCCAGGUAUCCAGACACCAUUGCCUUGACCUUUGAUCCUACUAAUCAGUGGCUGUCUUGUGUGUACAACGAUCAUAGCAUUUAUGUUUGGGAUGUGAGGGACCCCAAGAAAGUGGGCAAGGUGUACUCGGCUCUGUAUCAUUCUUCCUGCGUCUGGAGUGUGGAGGUCUACCCCGAGGUGAAGGACAGUAACCAGGCCUGCCUGCCCCCCAGUUCCUUUAUUACCUGCUCCUCAGACAACACCAUCCGCCUGUGGAACACAGAGAGCUCCGGGGUGCAUGGCUCCACCCUCCACCGAAACAUCCUCAGCAGUGACCUCAUUAAAAUCAUCUAUGUGGAUGGGAACACCCAGGCUCUGCUGGACACAGAGCUGCCUGGAGGAGACAAAGCUGAUGCAUCCCUGUUGGAUCCCCGUGUGGGCAUCCGCUCGGUGUGUGUCAGCCCCAAUGGACAGCAUCUAGCAUCAGGGGACCGUAUGGGCACACUUAGGGUGCACGAACUUCAGUCCCUGAGUGAGAUGCUGAAGGUGGAGGCCCAUGACUCUGAGAU